AGGCAAUCGCUUUAUAUUUAUUAUAAAGAGGAAAGUCCGAACUCCAUAGAACAAUAUGCUUCGUAAUGCGAAGGCGGUAAAUUAUAAUGAUUUACUGACGGAUAGUGCCGCAGAAAAUAUACAGCCUUUAUAGGCAAUGGUGAAAAGGCAGUGUAAGAGACUACCGCAUAUUUGGUGACAAAUAUGGCAUGGUAAACCACAUAUGGAGCAAAGUUAAAUAUAGAAACGUGUUCUUUUUAAGACCGCAGUUUGUUCGAUUGUGUAGUUUUUCUAGCGUUUCAGGGUAAACUGCUAAAGAAUAAUGGCAACAUUAUUUUUAGAUAAAUGAUUGCCUCCCAUUUAAUGGAAGACAGAAUUCGGCUUAUUCU
This 368-nucleotide RNase P RNA is filed under the name bovine gut metagenome. RNAcentral describes it as "Bacterial RNase P class A". It matches the Rfam family "Bacterial RNase P class A". From Rfam's summary of the family: Ribonuclease P (RNase P) is a ubiquitous endoribonuclease, found in archaea, bacteria and eukarya as well as chloroplasts and mitochondria. Its best characterised activity is the generation of mature 5'-ends of tRNAs by cleaving the 5'-leader elements of precursor-tRNAs. The record is from RNAcentral.